This 30-nucleotide non-coding RNA is filed under the name Rattus norvegicus (Norway rat). Lineage: Eukaryota; Metazoa; Chordata; Mammalia; Rodentia; Muridae. The record is from RNAcentral.
UAAUCUACUGAGAUGUUUUCAUGGUCACUA